AUACGGAGGGUGCAAGCGUUAUUCGGAAUCACUGGGCGUAAAGGGUGCGUAGGCGGUUUGAUACGUCUGAUGUGAAAUCCUAUGGCUCAACCAUAGAACUGCAUUGGAAACUGUCAGACUAGAAUACUGAAGGGGCAGAUGGAAUUAGUGGUGUAGGGGUAAAAUCCGUAGAUAUCACUAGGAAUACCGAAAGCGAAAGCGAUCUGCUGGGAAGUUAUUGACGCUGAGGCACGAAAGCGUGGGGAGCAAACGGGAUUAGAAACCCUAGUAGUCC
This 274-nucleotide ribosomal RNA is filed under the name uncultured bacterium. Its description in RNAcentral is "partial 16S ribosomal RNA". It matches the Rfam family "Bacterial small subunit ribosomal RNA", at positions 523 to 796 of the family's 1533-position model. The record is from RNAcentral.